CUCACUGACUUCAAGAAUGAAGCCGUGGACCCUCACGAUUAACUGACCUCUUCCAUGUUCAAACCAUAUGUAAUUGUAAUUGAAUGGAAGUUAAACAUCUGGAAACCGUUAGGAUUGAAUAGCAAUGAAAGGCAGGAAGCACAAGACUAUGGAAAGUGAUUUUGAACAACCAGGGCGACCUGGAAGCAUACUUCUGGUAGCAAUGGGGACACGGGUCAAAGGGGACUUGAGGUUAUCAGCUUUCAGAAUGAAGACACAUAAUCCCUAUUAGAGUGGAAGACUUAAAAUCGAGUUUGAGACCCACCUUCUGAAACUGCAGGCUCUUGGGAGCCUGAUUUCCGGUGAAGAGUGUUGCUGCUUUGCAUUUUUCACACUUGAACACAGUGAAGAAGAUGAACAUUAAUUAGGAUUAUAGUGCCAUGGAGGCUUACUGUGCUGUGAGAACUCACAAGAAAUAAAAUGCCAUUUCUUUUUUUGGAUGCAA
Molecule: long non-coding RNA, 484 nt
Filed under: Homo sapiens (human)
Lineage: Eukaryota; Metazoa; Chordata; Mammalia; Primates; Hominidae
Description: long independently transcribed non-coding RNA 1214 (LINC01214)
Source: RNAcentral